UAUACCCUUCAGAGACCCACUCCACUCCUAUGUUUGCUCAUCCACACAGACGUAUUGAGUCCUUUUUUACGUGCUUCAGAGACCCUCUCCCCUGUUGCGUUUUUGAGUCGAUGUUCCAGAUGUUGCAUGUUUGAGCUGAUGUUGAAGAUGCGCAGCUGUUGCCGAUGCUAUUGAAUCUUGAAUAUCGAUGUUGCAGCCCAGCUGGUUAUUCACUUCCUAUUUGUAGUUUUGAUUUUUCAUUUUUGUGCCUAGGCAACAUAUUUGAUUUUACAAAUCUGUGUAGUGUUUGUUUCGU
This 295-nucleotide unclassified non-coding RNA is filed under the name Hevea brasiliensis (rubber tree). The record is from RNAcentral. Lineage: Eukaryota; Viridiplantae; Streptophyta; Magnoliopsida; Malpighiales; Euphorbiaceae.